ACGCUGUACAUCCGCCAAUUUAAUGACACCAGAUGUCUGAUUCUUUUUAAUAUAUGAGACAAGUUAUAGUACUGCCAGAAAAACAUGUUAUAUCUGUGACAAAAAUUAUAUUCUCUCAUACACAUGCCCCUAAAAAUGGAAAAAAACGUGCUGAGUCUGUAUUUUGACUGCUUAUAGCAAAUGUCUGACAAGGUCUACCAGAAAACAAAUUGUAUCAGUGAAAAGAACUAGGUCUAAUUGAUAUAUGUACCAAUUAUGAAGUUGGUGCUGUGAAGAAAACUGUUUUAUUCAAGCUG
Molecule: long non-coding RNA, 296 nt
Organism: Sphaeramia orbicularis (orbiculate cardinalfish)
Lineage: Eukaryota; Metazoa; Chordata; Actinopteri; Kurtiformes; Apogonidae
Exons: 3
Source: RefSeq, a predicted model, not a curated record